RNAcentral lists this ribosomal RNA (868 nucleotides) under bacterium enrichment culture clone 080214-ABM-MX80 9-93. RNAcentral's name for it is "bacterial SSU rRNA". It matches the Rfam family "Bacterial small subunit ribosomal RNA", at positions 10 to 879 of the family's 1533-position model. The record is from RNAcentral.
AGUUUGAUCCUGGCUCAGGACGAACGCUGGCGGCGUGCCUAACACAUGCAAGUCGAGCGAAGGAUAAUUGGUGGCGAUUUCGGUCAAAACCGAUUAAACUUAGCGGCGGACGGGUGAGUAACACGUAGGCAACCUGCCCAUGACACGGGGAUAGCUUCGGGAAACCGGAGGUAAUACCCGAUACCUUUACUUAUUGCAUGAUAAGUAAAGAAAGCGUUUAGCGGUCAUGGAUGGGCCUGCGUCCCAUUAGCUAGUUGGUGAGAUAACAGCCCACCAAGGCAACGAUGGGUAGCCGACCUGAGAGGGUGACCGGCCACACUGGAACUUAGACACGGUCCAGACUCCUACGGGAGGCAGCAGUGGGGAAUUUUGCGCAAUGGGGGAAACCCUGACGCAGCGACGCCGUGUGAGCGAAGAAGGUUUUCGGGUCGUAAAGCUCAGUCAUUGGGGAUGAAAGAGACAGUACCCAAAGAGGAAGCCCCGGCUAACUACGUGCCAGCAGCCGCGGUAAUACGUAGGGGGCGAGCGUUGUCCGGAAUUACUGGGUGUAAAGGGCGUGUAGGCGGGGAUGCAAGUUACCGGUAAAAACCCGAGGCUCAACCACGGGCUUGCCGAUAAAACUGUAUCUCUUGAGUAUAGGAGAGGGAAGUGGAAUUCCCGGAGUAGCGGUGAAAUGCGUAGAUACCGGGAGGAACACCAGUGGCGAAGGCGGCUUCCUGGCCUAUCACUGACGCUGAGGCGCGAAAGCUAGGGGAGCGAACGGGAUUAGAUACCCCGGUAGUCCUAGCCGUAAACGAUGGUCACUAGGUGUGGGUGGUGGUCAAGCCAUCCGUGCCGGAGCUAACGCAAUAAGUGACCCACCUGGGAG